UCUAUAUGUAGCCUAUUGAACACUGGAUAAUUAGUGAUGAUGGCCUGGACUAACCUCAUCCUACAUGAAUCCAGGGGGAAUGAUGAGAUACAAAGAUGCAUAUGUGCGAUUUUGAGUGGGUGUUGUGUUCUGGAUCAUUCUGUAUGCCAGGGUGGAACCAGAGAUAUGGAACCCUCGUGCUUGGCUAUGAAACUUAUAGAAUGCAGCCGUCAUGAUUCCUCAAAAUCCACCAGCGCAAUAUCAGACCUGACAUGGGCCAACUUCCUUUAUUCUUACAGCUGCAAUACAAACAGCGAACUGAGAAAGAUGCUGGGGGCCAGGGCGGAGGAAAGACGCUCAUACACGUCUGGUUUGGCGGCCAGCUCCUUCAGUGUCUGGACGCGCUCCUCAGUGAAAAGCUUCUGGUCUGAAUCCUCAUCCAGCCCGUGAAGGCGCUUCUCGUCCGUCUUACGGAAGUGGAUGACGUCGAUGUGGGUCUUGUACACCGACUUCACGGUGCUCUGGCGAGGGUUCUCACGCAUAGGAACCGCUCUGUAGAUACCUGUUGUGGAGAUGAGUUUAGUAAUGACGAUAGUCAUUUUUUGUUUACCAUCAAAUGUCACGUUACAGUGAUGUACUCGCAUCCUGACAUCAAAAAGCUCUGCAGAAGGAUAGCUAACACUGUUGGGAGUCUCAUAAAUCUUGACAAACUGAGUGAGUGAUCACCAUAAAAAUAAAAAACACACAAGGCUGAUGGCUAUA
This is a long non-coding RNA of Oncorhynchus masou masou (cherry salmon), 741 nucleotides long. RefSeq lists it as uncharacterized. The transcript has 2 exons. Lineage: Eukaryota; Metazoa; Chordata; Actinopteri; Salmoniformes; Salmonidae. The record is from RefSeq and is a predicted model, not a curated record.